This 253-nucleotide ribosomal RNA is filed under the name uncultured bacterium. RNAcentral's name for it is "partial 16S ribosomal RNA". It matches the Rfam family "Bacterial small subunit ribosomal RNA", at positions 524 to 776 of the family's 1533-position model. The record is from RNAcentral.
UACGUAGGGUGCGAGCGUUAAUCGGAAUUACUUGGCGUAAAGCGUGCGCAGGCGGUUGUGCAAGGCAGAUGUGAAAUCCCCGGGCUCAACCUGGGAACUGCAUUUGUGACUGCACGGCUGGAGUGCGGCAGAGGGGGAUGGAAUUCCGCGUGUAGCAGUGAAAUGCGUAGAUAUGCGGAGGAACACCGAUGGCGAAGGCAAUCCCCUGGGCCUGCACUGACGCUCAUGCACGAAAGCGUGGGGAGCGAACAGG